This 254-nucleotide ribosomal RNA is filed under the name uncultured bacterium. Its description in RNAcentral is "partial 16S ribosomal RNA". It matches the Rfam family "Bacterial small subunit ribosomal RNA", at positions 524 to 776 of the family's 1533-position model. The record is from RNAcentral.
UACGUAGGGUGCAAGCGUUGUCCGGAAUUAUUGGGCGUAAAGAGCUCGUAGGCGGCUUGUCACGUCUGCUGUGAAAACUCGGGGCUCAACCCCGAGCCUGCAGUGGAUACGGGCUAGCUAGAGUGCGGUAGGGGAGACUGGAAUUCCUGGUGUAGGCGGUGAAAUGCGCAGAUAUCAGGAGGAACACCGGUGGCGAAGGCGGGUCUCUGGACCGAUACUGACGCUGAGGAGCGAAAGCGUGGGGAGCGAACAGG